GAGUAAAGCUUUAGCGCUUUGGGAUAGGCUCAUGUCCCAUCAGGUUGAUGGUGGGGUAACUGCCUACCAUGCCGAUGACGGGUAGCUGGUCUGAGAGGAUGUCCAGCCAGACUGGGACUGCGACACGGCCCAGACUCCUACGGGAGGCAGCAACUAGGAAUCAUGCGCAAUGGACGAAAGUCUGACGCUGUGACGUCGCGUGCUGGAUGAAGGCCCUAGGGUUGUAAACAGCUUUUAUUGGGGAACAAGUUCUGAGUGUACCCAAUGAAUAAGUGCCUGCUAAUCACGUGCCAGAAGCAUCGGUAAUACGUGAGGCACAAGCGUUAUCCGGAUUUACUGGGCGUAAAGAGAUGCGUAGGCGUCCUAGUAAGUUUCUAGUUAAAUCUUCCUGCUCAACGGGAAACAAGCUAGAAAAACUAUUAGGAUUGAGUUUGGUAGAGAAGGGGGGAAUUCCUGGUGGAGCGGUUAAAUGCGUUGAUAUCAGGAGGAACACCAAAUGCGAAGGCACCCCUUUGGACCAAUACUGACGCUAAGGCUCGAAAGCGUGGGGAGCAAAACGGAUUAGAUACCCGUGUAGUCCACGCCGUAAACGAUCCCUGCUAGAUAUUUGAAUGUUCCUCGAUUUCUGACUUCGGUCAGAAUGAGAGAGUGUUUAAGUGUCGCAGCUAACGCGUUAAGCAGGGCGCCUAUGGAGUACGGCCGCAAGGUUAAAACAUAAAGGAAUUGACGGGGACCCGCACAAGCAGUGGAGCGCCUGGUUUAAUUCGAUGAUCAGCGAAGAACCUCACCUGGGCUUGAACUGUAGCUGCAUCCCGACAGAAACGUCGGGAGCCUUCGAGGGUGCUACAGAGGUGCUGCAUGGCUGUCGUCAGCUCGUGUCGUGAGAUGUAGGGUUAAGUCCCAUAACGAGCGCAACCCCUAUCUAGUGUUAUAUAUUUCUCUAGAGACUGCCUUGUAAUAACGAGGAGGAAGGAGGGGACGACGUCCAGUCAUCAUAUCCCUUAUGUCCAGGGCUACACAGACGCUACAAUGGCCGGUACAACGGGUAGCCAAAUCGCGAGAUGGAGCCAAUCCCAUCAAAACCGGUCUCAGUUCAGAUUGCAGUCUGCAACUCGACUGCAUGAAGUCGGAAUUGCUAGUAAUCGUGGAUCAGCACGCCGCGGUGAAUACGUUCUCGGGUCUGUACACACCGCCCGUCAGGGCACGGGAGCUGCUCUCACUCGAAG
Molecule: ribosomal RNA, 1226 nt
Filed under: uncultured organism
Description: bacterial SSU rRNA
Rfam family: Bacterial small subunit ribosomal RNA
Source: RNAcentral